Molecule: long non-coding RNA, 3519 nt
Organism: Phocoena sinus (vaquita)
Lineage: Eukaryota; Metazoa; Chordata; Mammalia; Artiodactyla; Phocoenidae
Source: Ensembl
GUUUCUGGAGUGCAGACAUUACAUACAAAUUGUAAGAAUGCUUGUGGAUCUAGAUAAUUUUGAAGUUCCAACUAACAAUAUUUCAUUACUCUAUAGACCACGAUGUGUGAUGCAAGGGGCAAAUAAUACUGAAGAUGCUCUGUCUCUGCUUGGAAAUGAUUCCAGAUCAUGACAGUGACAGUUUUUAUGAGAGCAUGCCUUGUGGUGACCUAUUCAAAGUUCUACAGGUCAACAGAUCCACCUAGACUCAGAUCGAUUUGAAACACACUGAAAGGGCAGCCGAAGCAUCGGCCCGCAUGCACAGAAGUCCCUCGUGGAACUGGCUGGUUCUCAGGAAGCUCUGGCUCCCAAUGACCAAGUAGGACACACAAGUCUGUCUCUCUGAGCAAACAUGGCCAAGUCAGGAACUGCAAAAUUUGGUCUCUAUCAAAAAAGUCCCCGGACAGCCUGAAACUCAUUUCGAACCGUUUCAGGGAGGACCCUUUCGAGGAACAUGACUGGCCUCGCACAGCACAUUUAAAAUAACAACCUUCCAUGAAGCUGUGAACACGAGGGAAAACAUUUCUCCCAAAUGUUUGUAACCAACUUCCAACAGAGCAUUGCCUUAUGCAGCUGCCCUGGCUGAAACACUGCUUUCGUUCCAUGAGGAGCUAUGGGACCUCCUGCAGACAGAGGCAGGCUCCCAGGGCACGGCCCUUUGCAGCUUUUUUAGGAGCAAGAUGGAGUGAGAAUUCUCCACGUCAUUUGUAAUAUUCUUUGGCUCUGUUUCAUUAAAACAUGUACUAGAAUGAAAAUAAUGGUAAGAUGAAUAUGGGUUUACUACUGAAAUUCCAUUCUUCCUUUAAAAAAUUAAUUAUGAGCACUUACUAGAUGCCAGGCACUGUUAUGGGUGCUGGUGAUAAGUUAACUGUAAGGUGUGUCUGUUCUCAUGAAGGUCACAUUCUGAUAUGGAGAGAAAGAGUUAGCAAGAAACUACACAUGAACAAGAGCAUGUUAGCUUGUGCUGGGUUGUAUGAAGACCUGCGUCGAGGGGUACGGAAGGAAGUGAGGGGCUGGGGCGUGUGUGCGGUUGAAAGAGCAGCCAGCAUUUCCCUGAGGGGAGUAUCUCAUGAUGUGAAAAUGACAUAAAGUUCAAAAUUUAGCAUCCAUAAAGUUUCUGUGGAACUUGGCCAUGUUUAUGUGUUGUCUAUUGCUAAUUUGUGCUUAUAACAGUGAAGUUGAGUCAUUGCAAUAGAGAUAGUAUGGCCUGUAGAGCCAUUUUCACUUUACUUUUCUUUUUUUAUAUUUUUACCUUUACUGUGUGGUUCUUUACAGAAAUAGUUUUCUGAUCUGGUCUAGAUUUAAGAAAAUCAGAAGGCAAUGUUAAGAAUGCAGAUAUUUAAAUGUUAAAAUCAAGAGUGUUGUGUCUUUUAGUGUUAUGUUAUGAAUAGCACAAAAAUUGGGAAAAAUAUUCUCCCAGUAUUCAAAAACUAUUGUCCAAUUCAACAAAUAAAUCUCUGACAUCUUUACCAAACAAGUAAAGAUCUGGCAUACUUCUAUGUUGCUUCACUUUUUUCUUAAUCAAGAUAAACAAAAUUAUCAACUGACUUUCAUGAUGUGAGUGAUUUCUUUGCUGAAUCAGACAGUAAUCAAGCAUUAUUCCUAGCCUGAUUUUAUUGACACUAUUGCUAGAAAUAGUAUAAAAACAGAGAGUGGAGGACUGACGUCAGGGAGGAUGGUAGAAUAGGAAUCUCCAGAAAUCCACUUCUCCACCCCAUGACAACUGUCCUCUCCGAAUCUGUCUGAUGUAACUAUUUUGGAACUCUUGAGUCCAUUCAAAAGCUUUCAGCUUCCAGGGGAGGCUUGGCCUGUAAACUGAGGUUAAUUUCAGUCAAUGUCAGCUCUCAGUAGGGUGAUGGCUACAAGGUCCCAGCCCCCAGCCCCCAUAGCAGGCAGCCAUGCCAACAUUCCUGAAGUAGCUCCUGGGAACCAGAGUAGCCAAGAAUGACCUUGCCCCUCAGAUAUUGGGGGCCUGUGUUCUGAUCUCUGAUUGCUGUUUCUGAUCAUAAAGUUGCAGACCCAGAAGUGGGCAACCACUGUUGCAAGACACAUCCAUUGACAGCAGUGUCUUCCAAUGGAUUUAAAGAAACAGAGCCUAUUUCUCUCACCUUCAUUUUCUCCUUUUUUCCCUUUUGGGAGCCUGACAUUUAAGGAUUAGGACAUUUAAAAGCAACCACAUGUGUGGGGCAAUUUACAAAGUCACUACACAUGCCCAAGGGAAAGACACAGGCUCAGAAAAAAAAUCUGAGGAGGUCUUAAGUUUAUGCCUCAGGCUAUUCCCAGGCAGAGAUACCCUAUGAGAAUGUUUUUAAGCAAACCCUGGGGAAGGAGGAGAAUCUAUUUCCAGAGUUACCACAUUAUAAAAUUCAAAUGUUCAGUUUUAAAUAAAAAAUUACAAUACACUCAACGAACAGGCAAAUACAGGCCCAUUCAAGGGGGAAAAAAAAAGAAAAUACCUAUGAGGAAGAUCAGAUGGCCAACUUACCAGAAGAAGACUUUAAAACACUGUCUUAAAGAUUCUCAAAGAGCUAUAAACUAAGAUAUAGACAAAUUCAAGAAACUGAUGUACAAACAAAAUGUAAAUAUCAAAGACAUAGAAAACAAAACAAGAAGGAUUUUGGAGCUGAAAAUUGCAAUAACUGAAAUGAAAAAUUCACUAGAGAGAUUCAAAAGUGGAUUUGACCAGGCAGUAGAAAGAUAAGUGAAUUUAAAGGAAAAACCCCCAAAAUAUCAAGUCUGAAAAACACAAAGAAAAGAGACUGAAGAAAAGUGAACAGAGCCCAAGGGACCUGCAGGAUGUAUCAAGCAGACUGACACAUGCACUGUGGGAGUCUCAUAAGGAGAAGAGAGAGAGAGGGGCAGAGAGAUUAUUUGAAGAAGUAAUGGCCAAAAACUUCCUGAAUAUGAUGCAAGAUAUGAAUCUACAAACCCAAGAAGCUUGAAGCUGGAUGAAUUGCAGGUAUGAUAAACUUAAAAGAGACCCCCAGAGAGACACAUUAUAAUCAAACUGUGAAAAGAGGAAGAGAUAAUCUUGAAGAUUUCAAGAGAGAAGUGACCUGUCACAUGCAAGGCAUCCUCAUAGAUUUAAAAAGAUAAAUAUUAUACAAAAUUUCUUCUCCAGCCAUAAUUAGAUGAAAUUAGAAAUCACUAACAAAAUGAAAAAGUGGAAAAUUCACAAAUAUGUGGAAAUUAAAUAACACACUCUUAAUAAUUAAUGAGCCAAAGAUGAAAUAACCAGGGAAAUUAGAAAAUAUUUAGAGAUGAAUGAAAACAAAUCACAACAUAUCAAAACUUACUGGAUAUAGCAAAAGCAGGGCUAAGAAGGAAAUAUAUAGCUGUGAAAACUUACAUUUAAAAAGAAGAUUCCAAAUCAACAACCUGAUUUUAUACCUUAAGCAACUAGAAAAGAACAAACUAAACCCAAAGCCAAUGGAAGGAAGGAAUAAUCAAGGUUAGAAACAGAGAUAAAAUAGAGACUAG